UCCGGAUUAGCUCAGUGGUAGAGCAACCGGCUGUUAACCGGUUGGUCGCAGGUUCGAAUCCUGCAUCCGGAGCCA
RNAcentral lists this transfer RNA (75 nucleotides) under Campylobacterota bacterium. Its description in RNAcentral is "Epsilonproteobacteria bacterium (hydrothermal vent metagenome) tRNA-Asn". It matches the Rfam family "tRNA". From Rfam's summary of the family: Transfer RNA (tRNA) molecules are approximately 80 nucleotides in length. Their secondary structure includes four short double-helical elements and three loops (D, anti-codon, and T loops). Lineage: Bacteria; Pseudomonadati; Campylobacterota. The record is from RNAcentral.